This 373-nucleotide ribosomal RNA is filed under the name uncultured eukaryote. RNAcentral's name for it is "partial 18S ribosomal RNA". It matches the Rfam family "Eukaryotic small subunit ribosomal RNA", at positions 592 to 976 of the family's 1831-position model. The record is from RNAcentral.
CAAUAGCGUAUAUUAAAGUCGUUGCAGUUAAAAAGCUCGUAGUUGAAUUUUUGCUUGCCGCCGAUGUCGGAACUUCCGUACGUUCGGCGGCGUGCAUCCUUGGGUGGAACCUGUGUGGCAUUAGGUUGUCGUGCAGGGGAUGCUCAUCGUUUACUGUGAAAAAAUUAGAGUGUUCAAAGCAGGCUUAUGCCGUUGAAUAUAUUAGCAUGGAAUAAUAAGAUAGGACCUUGGUACUAUUUUGUUGGUUUGCGCACCGAGGUAAUGAUUAACAGGGACAGUUGGGGGUAUUCGUAUUCCAUUGUCAGAGGUGAAAUUCUUGGAUUUCUGGAAGACGAACUACUGCGAAAGCAUUUACCAAGGAUGUUUUCAUUAA